AUCUGCGCCCUUUGGCUUUGCUGCAAAAUUUCUUGUUGGUUUUCAAUUUACGUUCAGUUAUCCAGUGCACAGAAGUAAGAACAAAAACUUUUGAACAAGUAUUUGGCUUAGUAAUUUUACAACCCGUAAAUUCGUAAAGGAACAGAAGAAACUGACUAUGCCUUCCAAGAUGGCUUCGUUAGGAGAUGACCAGAUGGCAGACUUCCGAGACUCGUUUCAUUUAUUCGACAGACUAGGAGAUGGGAGAGUAGAGGCGUAAAGUGUGGGCCCGUUAGCCAAGGGCACUGGGUUUGAACCCGACAGAGUAUGACGUGGAUCGGGUGUCUGGAUUCAGACAGGACCCAACAAGACGGAUUACGUUUGAGCAGUUUGUGCCCAUGUAUAUGGCUCUGCGGGACAAAAGUGUCUCGAGUAGCGCCGCCACUGACUUCCACGAGGGCUUCAAAGUGUUCGACAAGGAUGGCAACGGACGUAUCUCCAGCAUAGAACUGAAACAC
This is a long non-coding RNA of Symsagittifera roscoffensis, 497 nucleotides long. RefSeq lists it as uncharacterized. NCBI's taxonomy places the organism in Eukaryota, Metazoa, Xenacoelomorpha, Acoela, Convolutidae. The transcript has 3 exons. The record is from RefSeq and is a predicted model, not a curated record.